UGCUGUGGUGCCUGCCUGUAAUUCCAGCACUUGUGAGGCUGAGGCAGGGGGAUUUUGAGUGCAAGGCCAACCUGGAUUACCUAGUGAGACCCUGUCUAAUAAAAGACAAAAAAGAAGCAAAAAGAACUUCGGAGGUGAUGAUUCCAUAGAUUCGAGGUGUGUUAAGGUUUGCAGUUGCUGUGAAAAUACCUGAGGUAGGAAUGAUUUAUUUUGGCUCCUUUCAGAAGUUUUGGGUCAUAGUCUCUUGGCUCUGUCGUUUUUGGGUCGGUGGGGAGCACCUGGGAGAGUAGAGCUGGUCACCUCAAGGCAGCCGGGAAGUACAGAGCAGAACCAGAGGAAGAGGCGGGGCCAGAUGCAGUCCCCGAGGUCACACCCCGACCCACUGCCUGCAGUUAGGCCUCAUCUUCCGGUACUGCCGCCAGUUGUGACCUCGUGAUCCAGACAGUCACCUCCGCAAAGUCCAUCAGCAACCAGGCCUUCAACACAAUGAGCCUUUUGGGAGACGCUUUGGAUCCCACCUGUGACACAGGUGACAGGGGUUCUCGUGAUGCCUUGACUUUGCACUUCUGGUCACCAGUUUUAAGCAAGUGGUUAAGAGCAAAGCCUCCAGAUUAGGCCUGGAGUCAACGUCAGACCUGCUCCAUGCUGCGUGGGAAUGCCAGUAGCUUUUGCCUGCUGGGCAACUGUUCCUGUCCUCUUAGAAAGACAUCUUGAUUUUCAUUUACAGGAUAUGGUUGAUUAAUUUUUAAAAUGGCCCCACACCUUCAAGCUUCCCUGUAUCCGUGUCCCUUUGCAGUGUGACUUUAUAGCCCCUCCCGGCGGGAAAUGGGCUGUCCAUCCCUGCCCCCAAACCUGGGCUGCCGGGGACUGGCUUGGACCACACAGUGCCACGAGUGACUGCUUAUUCUCACAGGGCUCUGUGCUCUUCUGCUCCCACUCCGGGGCCUGUGAGUACCAUGAGUGAGCCCAGGCCAGCCUGCUGGGGGAAGAAAGCUCACACAGGGCAGAGCACAAGUUCCUCUGCCUAGAAACCUGAGAAAGGCCAACUGCAGGGGACUCUGGAUUGCACGCCAGGGCCCAGCAGGCACCAGAAGAACUUUCUACCCAUGUCCAGCCAAAAUUCCCA
This 1126-nucleotide long non-coding RNA is filed under the name Fukomys damarensis (Damara mole-rat). Its description in RNAcentral is "lncRNA (ENSFDAG00000031327.1)". Lineage: Eukaryota; Metazoa; Chordata; Mammalia; Rodentia; Bathyergidae. The record is from RNAcentral.